GGGCCGGUAGCUCAGUGGUAGAGCACCCGCUUGGCAUGCGGGAGGCCUGGGGUUCAAAUCCCCACCGGUCCA
RNAcentral lists this transfer RNA (72 nucleotides) under Archaeoglobus veneficus. RNAcentral describes it as "tRNA-Ala". It matches the Rfam family "tRNA". Rfam says of the family: Transfer RNA (tRNA) molecules are approximately 80 nucleotides in length. Their secondary structure includes four short double-helical elements and three loops (D, anti-codon, and T loops). Further hydrogen bonds mediate the characteristic L-shaped molecular structure. tRNAs have two regions of fundamental functional importance: the anti-codon, which is responsible for specific mRNA codon recognition, and the 3' end, to which the tRNAs corresponding amino acid is attached (by aminoacyl-tRNA synthetases). tRNAs cope with the degeneracy of the genetic code in two manners: having more than one tRNA (with a specific anti-codon) for a particular amino acid; and 'wobble' base-pairing, i.e. permitting non-standard base-pairing at the 3rd anti-codon position. Lineage: Archaea; Methanobacteriati; Methanobacteriota; Archaeoglobi; Archaeoglobales; Archaeoglobaceae. RNAcentral also lists the same sequence under 2 other names. The record is from RNAcentral.